CAUGGGCUGGGGCUUCGCGCUCUCCUCCAUGCUGUGUGUGCCCCUGCACCUCCUGGGCUGCCUCCUCAGAGCCAAGGGGACCAUGGCUGAGCGCUGGCAGCACCUGACGCAGCCUGUGUGGGGCCUCCACCACUUGGAGUAUAGAGCUCAGGACUCGGAUGUCAGGGGCCUGACCACCCUGACCCCAGUGUCCGAGAGCAGCAAGGUGGUGGUGGUGGAGAGCGUCAUGUGACAGGCGCCCCGGCUCCCAUCACCAGCUCACCCUCUUGUAGCCAUAGCAGCCCCUGCUUUAGCCCCCCCACCCCUCCCGGGGGGGCUUGCCUUUCCCUGACACUUUUGGGGUCUGCCGGGGGGGGGGGGAGUGGGAGGAAGCACCACGAGUGCUAACUAAAAUAACUUUUUCCAUUUUUAAUAAAAUGCCAAAAAUACCACAACCCACCAAAAAUAGAUGCCUCCCGACCCACCCCGCAACGGAGCUGGUACGCACGCUGCUUCCCAGGCCCUGCCCACCGCGCCCCCGCCCCAUGCCCGCUGCAGCUGUGUCUACCCCCCCCCCCCGCCCGCCCCAGCACGCCUGCCCCUCCGGGCUCUGCCCGACGCUCCCUCGGGUGGCCCAUCCACCCCAGAGGUGGCAGUGGCAGCUGGGGGACCAGGGCGGGAGAGCCAAGGCGGCUACUUCAGCUGGGCCCCACCCCUCUCCCCGUCCCUCUUCUAGAAGCUUAGAGAGCCAGCCAGCAACGGGACCGUCCGGUUCCUGCGCCAGUUGCCACCAAUAUCAGUUGUGUGAGCUUGUGUACGAAUGCAUGUGUGCGUGAGUAUGUAGGGUGAACCUCGAUCUCUUAGCCAAGGUCACUACCAGGUGUAAACUGUGCCUGUGGGCAAACGAGGCUUGUAUUUUGCACAUUUUAUAAAAACUUGAGGAAAGAGAUUCCUGCUUGUAUAUUUCUAAAGAGAAAACAGCCCGAUGUCCCGACUCUCCCUGCCACUCCCGUCCCUCGGAGCACCCUCUUAGUCCUCUGCCCCAGCCAAGGAGUGUGAAUUUAUAAAUCUAAUUUUCAUAGGCAAAAGCUUCAAGCUGUUGAGCGUGCGAGUCUGUCGUGUGGGUGUGCACGUGCAGUCCCAGGCCCCGGACCGGGGUGGACAGAGAGUGCAAGGCGGGGGGGCGGGGGGCCGUGCAGGAGCAUCCCCCCACCCCCUCUGCCCGCAAGCCGGCAGGGUGAGGUGCGGCGUCGUGACCCCCGGGGGACCUGGGGCCCCUCCCUUGGGCGCUCAGGCUCGCCCACGCCCUGCCCACCCACCCCCCCCCCCCCGGCCCGGGCUAGGCACGACUGCAGGGAUCUGAGGUGGGCACCAGCCCGGGAAGGCCUGCGCCCCGGCGCGGCUCCCACCUGCAAGCUUAAAGCGGAUGCACCUCCCGCGUCUCAAGUCUUCCAUUAGCAGCUUUAAUUAACCCACGUGUGUGUCACGUCCGAUCCCGAGACGGCCGAGCGGACCCUAGAAGGGCUUCCCCCAUGCCGCCCCGACGUGGGUCGGAGAGGUGGGCCUGGGUGAGGGCGGGGGUCCAGCGGGGACAUUCUUACUGUGCUAAAAAGCCACUGCAAACAUAGCAAUAAAAACAUGUCAUUUUCCAAA
This is a long non-coding RNA of Neogale vison (American mink), 1632 nucleotides long. RefSeq lists it as uncharacterized. Lineage: Eukaryota; Metazoa; Chordata; Mammalia; Carnivora; Mustelidae. The transcript is spliced from 2 exons. The record is from RefSeq and is a predicted model, not a curated record.